Molecule: ribosomal RNA, 114 nt
Filed under: Bacillus massilinigeriensis
Lineage: Bacteria; Bacillati; Bacillota; Bacilli; Caryophanales; Bacillaceae
Source: RNAcentral
UGGUGACUAUGGCGAGAAGGUCACACCCGUUCCCAUACCGAACACGGAAGUUAAGCUUCUAGAGCGCCGAUGGUAGUUGGGGGUUCUCCCCCUGUGAGAGUAGGACGUCGCCAG